UACGAAGGGGGCUAGCGUUGCUCGGAAUCACUGGGCGUAAAGGGUGCGUAGGCGGGUCUUUAAGUCAGGGGUGAAAUCCUGGAGCUCAACUCCAGAACUGCCUUUGAUACUGAAGAUCUUGAGUUCGGGAGAGGUGAGUGGAACUGCGAGUGUAGAGGUGAAAUUCGUAGAUAUUCGCAAGAACACCAGUGGCGAAGGCGGCUCACUGGCCCGAUACUGACGCUGAGGCACGAAAGCGUGGGGAGCACACAGG
This 253-nucleotide ribosomal RNA is filed under the name uncultured bacterium. RNAcentral's name for it is "partial 16S ribosomal RNA". It matches the Rfam family "Bacterial small subunit ribosomal RNA", at positions 524 to 776 of the family's 1533-position model. The record is from RNAcentral.